AUUGAACGCUGGCGGCAUGCCUUACACAUGCAAGUCGAACGGUAACAGGCCGCAAGGUGCUGACGAGUGGCGAACGGGUGAGUAACACAUCGGAACGUGCCUGAUAGUGGGGGAUAACUACUCGAAAGAGUAGCUAAUACCGCAUAAGAUCUCAGGAUGAAAGCAGGGGACCGCAAGGCCUUGCGCUAACAGAGCGGCCGAUGGCAGAUUAGGUAGUUGGUGGGAUAAAAGCUUACCAAGCCGACGAUCUGUAGCUGGUCUGAGAGGACGACCAGCCACACUGGGACUGAGACACGGCCCAGACUCCUACGGGAGGCAGCAGUGGGGAAUUUUGGACAAUGGGCGCAAGCCUGAUCCAGCAAUGCCGCGUGCAGGAUGAAGG
RNAcentral lists this ribosomal RNA (382 nucleotides) under uncultured bacterium. RNAcentral describes it as "bacterial SSU rRNA". It matches the Rfam family "Bacterial small subunit ribosomal RNA", at positions 29 to 414 of the family's 1533-position model. The record is from RNAcentral.